CCCUUAGAUGUUCUGGGCAGCACGCGCGCUACAAUGGUCUUCGCAAACGGAUGCAUUCUCGAAGGAGCAUGCCAAUCUUGGAAUCUAUGCCUUGGUCGGGACAGUUGCUUGCAAUUUUUCGACUCGAACCAGGAAUUCCUUGUAAUCGUGAUUCAUCACAUCACGAUGAAUACGUCCCUGCCCUUUGUACACACCGCCCGUCGCUCCUACCGAUCGAAGAGUUAGGUGAAUUGUUUUGAUCGAUAAGAUUUGACUAUGGUCAACUCUCGUUGUGAAAUUCUGUGAAUCUGACUGUUUAGAGGAAGGAAAAGUCGUAACA
RNAcentral lists this ribosomal RNA (319 nucleotides) under uncultured eukaryote. RNAcentral's name for it is "partial 18S ribosomal RNA". It matches the Rfam family "Eukaryotic small subunit ribosomal RNA", at positions 1470 to 1796 of the family's 1831-position model. The record is from RNAcentral.